GUUGGAGUCCAGAUCUUCUGGGUGAUGUAUGAAAAACUGGGUGAAACUUCAUUGCUAUAAGUGUAGAGAGUAUCAGACCAGAAGGUUUAUUAAUGAUCUGUGCUGGAACUGAAAGGUUUGAAAUAGAGAUUUAUGUUUUUAAAUAGCCUAUUUUGAGUCAUUUUGAGUUUCUCUGUGCCCUUGGUGCCCUUGGUUGUUGGAAUCCUUGUCCUGUGUGGUGCUGGGAGUGCCCUGAUCACCCCUGCUGACAGCACUGGGGGCUCCAGUUCAGUGAGGCUGUGUCUGUUUUCAGGGAGCAGCACAAACACUUUCUGAAAUUUUUUCAGUGCUUAUUUAAUUAUGUACCCAUCUCUCAGCUAGAGCAUGAUAUCCUGGGGGCCUCAGAAGGAAAACAAGAUCCUGGAAUCCACUCUUAACUGCCUGGUCUUUGGAGUGAUGGGUUAAAGCAGACCUCCCUCAUGAAGGACGGGCUGCCUGAUUUUAGUGACCUGUGCAUGCUUUUCCAGCCUGGGAAAGAAUAUUCUUGGGAAUAAAGAAGGUUCGGUCUUGCCUCGUUUGUGCGUUCCUGAUGUGCCCCACAGGCUGAUUGUGGCAUUUGGUAGCACAGCCUGUUCCCCCUUUGCUGGACUUUUCAGGGUGCUUUGGGCUCGAUGUCCUGGAGCAUGGACAGCCAGAGGAGUCAUAACCACAAAGUGGUGAAGGGAAGCAAAGACAGAGACAUGAAGCACUCUUGGGCCGGAAAAUGCAGAAACAUAAUAAUCAUUGUGCUAAAGUGAAGAGCUGGACUGGUGAGAUGGUCUGAGGCAUCAGCAGGGGAGAAGGACCAACUGGGAGGGAAA
Molecule: long non-coding RNA, 839 nt
Filed under: Lonchura striata (white-rumped munia)
Lineage: Eukaryota; Metazoa; Chordata; Aves; Passeriformes; Estrildidae
Description: domestica (Bengalese finch) lncRNA (ENSLSDG00000014032.1)
Source: RNAcentral